AGAGAGAGACAUGCGCGCAUAUCAAUAAGCGGAGGAAAAGAAACUAACUAGGAUUCCCUCAGUAACGGCGAGUGAAGCAGGAAGAGCUCAAAUUUGAAAUCUUCAAGGUUCUACCUUGACGAAUUGUAGUUUAAAGAAGUGUUUUCUGUUGGAGUUUUGGUAAAAGUUCUUUGGAAUAGGACAUCAUAGAGGGUGAGAAUCCCGUAUUUGACCAUUAUUUCCAGCUUUGUGAUACACUUUCAAAGAGUCGGAAUUGUUUGGGAAUGCAGUCCAAAAUGGGUGGUAAAUUUCAUCUAAAGCUAAAUACUUGGCGAGAGAUCGAUAGCGAACAAGUACCGUGAGGGAAGGAUGAAAAGAACUUUGAAAAGAGAGUUAAACAGUACGUGAAAUUGUCAAAAGGGAAGCGUUUGACACCAGUGUUGUUUUCUCGAAAAUCAAUUAAAAAAGGCAGGAUUUUGUGUUGUAUUGACUUUAUCAGCUUUCUGCACUCUUUUCUUGUCUUUUUUAAUGCACUUUUCGUUUAACAAGUCAACAUCAAUUUCUUUUGUUGUAAAAGGGUCAUUGGAAGGUGGCUUUCUUUUCGGAGAAAGUGUUUAUAGCCUUUGGCCUCUGCAAUCGGAGAGAUUGAGGUCUGCAGCGUAGAUCCUUCGGGGUUAGAUACAUUUGUGCUAAGUUAUAGCCUUUCAUAGACAACUUGUUGACUAUGAUCAGUCAUGUAGCUUACUCGCUUAUGCUAUUUUACCUACGCUUAGGAUGUUGAUGUGAUACUGCGAGCA
Molecule: ribosomal RNA, 776 nt
Filed under: uncultured Neocallimastigales
Lineage: Eukaryota; Fungi; Neocallimastigomycota; Neocallimastigomycetes; Neocallimastigales
Description: partial large subunit ribosomal RNA
Rfam family: Eukaryotic large subunit ribosomal RNA
Source: RNAcentral